Molecule: ribosomal RNA, 477 nt
Filed under: uncultured bacterium
Lineage: Bacteria
Description: bacterial SSU rRNA
Rfam family: Bacterial small subunit ribosomal RNA
Source: RNAcentral
GAUGAACGCUGGCGGCGUGCCUAACACAUGCAAGUCGAACGGAGCUGCUUUGAUGAAGUUUCGGAUGGAUUUAAAACAGCUUAGUGGCGGACGGGUGAGUAACGCGUGGGUAACCUGCCUCACACUGGGGGAUAACAGUUAGAAAUAGCUGCUAAUACCGCAUAAGCGCACAGUUCCGCAUGGAACAGUGUGAAAAACUCCGGUGGUGUGAGAUGGACCCGCGUCUGAUUAGCCAGUUGGCGGGGUAACGGCCCACCAAAGCGACGAUCAGUAGCCGGCCUGAGAGGGUGAACGGCCACAUUGGGACUGAGACACGGCCCAAACUCCUACGGGAGGCAGCAGUGGGGAAUAUUGCACAAUGGGGGAAACCCUGAUGCAGCGACGCCGCGUGAGUGAAGAAGUAUUUCGGUAUGUAAAGCUCUAUCAGCAGGGAAGAAAGUGACGGUACCUGAAUAAGAAGCCCCGGCUAACUACGUG